AAGGGUAUGGCUCAGUAGGAGAGUGUGUACUUAGCAUGCAUGAGGUCCUGGAUUCAAUUCCCAGCACCCAUU
Molecule: transfer RNA, 72 nt
Filed under: Camelus bactrianus (Bactrian camel)
Lineage: Eukaryota; Metazoa; Chordata; Mammalia; Artiodactyla; Camelidae
Also listed under: 2 other names
Rfam family: tRNA
About the family: Transfer RNA (tRNA) molecules are approximately 80 nucleotides in length.
Source: Rfam by way of RNAcentral